GACGAACGCUGGCGGCGUGCUUAACACAUGCAAGUCGAACGGAAAGGCCCUGCUUUUGUGGGGUGCUCGAGUGGCGAACGGGUGAGUAACACGUGAGUAACCUGCCCUUGACUUUGGGAUAACUUCAGGAAACUGGGGCUAAUACCGGAUAGGAGCUCCUGCUGCAUGGUGGGGGUUGGAAAGUUUCGGCGGUUGGGGAUGGACUCGCGGCUUAUCAGCUUGUUGGUGGGGUAGUGGCUUACCAAGGCUGUGACGGGUAGCCGGCCUGAGAGGGUGACCGGCCACAUUGGGACUGAGAUACGGCCCAGACUCCUACGGGAGGCAGCAGUGGGGAAUAUUGCACAAUGGGCGGAAGCCUGAUGCAGCAACGCCGCGUGCGGGAUGACGGCCUUCGGGCUGUAAACCGCUUUCGCCUGUGACGAAGCGUGAGUGACGGUAAUGGGUAAAGAAGCACCGGCUAACUACGUG
Molecule: ribosomal RNA, 468 nt
Filed under: uncultured bacterium
Lineage: Bacteria
Description: partial 16S ribosomal RNA
Rfam family: Bacterial small subunit ribosomal RNA
Source: RNAcentral